RNAcentral lists this long non-coding RNA (832 nucleotides) under Callithrix jacchus (white-tufted-ear marmoset). RNAcentral's name for it is "lncRNA (ENSCJAG00000079124.1)". The record is from RNAcentral. Lineage: Eukaryota; Metazoa; Chordata; Mammalia; Primates; Cebidae.
CCGGGCCGCGUCAGUCCAUGGGGUCGCGCCGCUCGCCUCCGCCCUGUGGGGGUCUGCACACAAUAGGGGGAAAGCGUGUUUAGGGAACCUCAGCGCUUGCCAGGUCAAGCGAGAGGCCAGUUCCCCUUUGUUGGGAGAGGGCGAGGGAAGAAAGACGGUCAUCAAAUAUCCUCCUUGUGAUAGUUUAGGGGCCUGGACAGCUCAGGAGCCCGCUGGCCCACCGUGGGGACUGGGGACUCUGCGGGACGUGUGCCUACGGGCUGUCGGGGCGCCGCGGGGAACGCGCUUUCUUUAUAGUAUUUACGGGAGAAGUGGACCCUGCCCUCUCCGCGUCCUGCUGUGAGGGGGCUGUGGCCGGGGUGCCAAAGAGCGGCGACCACGGGCGGGACAGCGAGGGCCAGGAGCCGGGCGCUUCUAGGGGGAUGCCUCUAACCUGGGCUCGCCCUAACGAGGUGGUGGCGGCCCCCCGCGCAUGCACCUAGCGGUCGCCUCAGCGGCGGUGGUUUCAGAGGACAUCUGAAGUAUCUCUUCUGCAAGGGAAUGCAGAUAAAAGCAGCCUGCAGAAUGGGCGGACUUCACCUAACACCCAGUAUACGCCACGCCAAGCCACCGAAGCCAGAGAUGUGUGUGUGUCUGGGGUCACAGACGUGUAUUCGCUCAGCAAGGCCGGCCUUAGACGCAAACGCCAGCACCGCCACCCUGUCGCCCGCUGAGAGGAUCUGGCCGCCAACGCCGGAGCGGGGGAAGGCGGGGGGACAACAAAAAACCCCAGCAUAAUGGACAUCCCCAGUGACGGUUGGGUUUUUUCCCCCCCCAGUCAGCCGAGAAAACA